UUUUGAACCAAGAGAGAUACGAAUAGGUAAUUCUUCAUAUGGAAAGUUUCUUCCUAACUUUCAUUCUCUCAAUUUUUUCUCUUUAGUGGAAAUUGAAGAAAGAGAAUAGAGGGAGGAAAAGAGAGAGCUACAGGAAAGAAGAGGAUAGGAGGAGGAAAAAAAGUCUUGCAUGCCAUUGGAAACGUUGAAGAAUCAUCAAUCUCACCCUCAUUUUUGAAAAUUCCAGGCUCUUUAAGAUUUUGAAACUUGCAUUCUGUGGCAGACGUUAUCCCCAAUGACGGGACGAUAGUCACACAACGUGCCCUGACAGACGUCAACCCCAAUGAUGGGUUUACCGUUAUGCACCUAAGACCUUGGAGGCAUCAAGCAGAGCUGACGGGAAUUUCCCAUGGAACGUCUUCCAGGUGAUGGACGUUAUGACCUGGACGACCUGACCGUCACCCUGGGUCUUUCCAUCCCCUUUUUGUGUGAUUUUUGGAGCCUUGCUGUGUGGCUUGGUACCUCUGACGACUAGUGACUAGUCAGCGGCAAAAGGUAAAGGAAAGAUGGCGUGAUGACACUUUCUGGAGGACUUUUGUUGUAGCUUAUUAUUUUUUUCGUUGUAUUAUGAAUACCUUAUGUUACUAUUAUACUAAUGACAUACUUGUACUUGUAUGCAAGACAUAUGUACUAUUGUAACAUAUUAAGUAUUGUAUUAUGUUUUAGUACCAUAUAUUAAUAACUUAAUUAUGUGA
Molecule: long non-coding RNA, 734 nt
Organism: Lathyrus oleraceus (garden pea)
Lineage: Eukaryota; Viridiplantae; Streptophyta; Magnoliopsida; Fabales; Fabaceae
Exons: 3
Source: RefSeq, a predicted model, not a curated record